RNAcentral lists this ribosomal RNA (497 nucleotides) under uncultured bacterium. RNAcentral's name for it is "partial 16S ribosomal RNA". It matches the Rfam family "Bacterial small subunit ribosomal RNA", at positions 28 to 507 of the family's 1533-position model. The record is from RNAcentral.
GAUGAACGCUGGCGGCGUGCCUAAUACAUGCAAGUCGAGCGAACGGACGAGAAGCUUGCUUCUCUGAUGUUAGCGGCGGACGGGUGAGUAACACGUGGAUAACCUACCUAUAAGACUGGGAUAACUUCGGGAAACCGUAGCUAAUACCGGAUAAUAUUUUGAACCGCAUGGUUCAAAAGUGAAAGACGGUCUUGCUGUCACUUAUAGAUGGAUCCGCGCUGCAUUAUCUAGUUGGUAAGGUAACGGCUUACCAAGGCAACGAUGCAUAGCCGACCUGAGAGGGUGAUCGGCCACACGGGAACUGAGACACGGUCCAGACGCCUACGGGAGGCAGCAGUAGGGAAUCUUCCGCAAAGGGCGAAAGCCUGACGGAGCAACGCCGCGUGAGUGAUGAAGGUCUUCGGAUCGUAAAACUCUGUUAUUAGGGAAGAACAUAUGUGUAAGUAACUGUGCACAUCUUGACGGUACCUAAUCAGAAAGCCACGGCUAACUACGUG